RNAcentral lists this ribosomal RNA (253 nucleotides) under uncultured bacterium. RNAcentral's name for it is "partial 16S ribosomal RNA". It matches the Rfam family "Bacterial small subunit ribosomal RNA", at positions 524 to 776 of the family's 1533-position model. The record is from RNAcentral.
UACGGGGGGGGCAAGCGUUGUUCGGAAUUACUGGGCGUAAAGGGCUCGUAGGCGGCCAACUAAGUCGGAUGUGAAAUCCCCAGGCUUAACCUGGGAACUGCAUCCGAUACUGGAUGGCUUGAAUCCGGGAGAGGGAUGCAGAAUUCCAGGUGUAGCGGUGAAAUGCGUAGAUAUCUGGAGGAAUACCGGUGGCGAAGGCGGCAUCCUGGACCGGCAUUGACACUGAUGAGCGAAAGCCAGGGGAGCAAACGGG